This 253-nucleotide ribosomal RNA is filed under the name uncultured bacterium. Its description in RNAcentral is "partial 16S ribosomal RNA". It matches the Rfam family "Bacterial small subunit ribosomal RNA", at positions 524 to 776 of the family's 1533-position model. The record is from RNAcentral.
GACAGAGGGUGCAACCGUUGUUCGGAAUUACUGGGCGUAAAGCGCGUGUAGGCGGUCCGAAAAGUCAGGUGUGAAAGCCCUGGGCUCAACCCAGGAAGUGCACUUGAAACUGCCGGGCUAGAGUACUGGAGAGGUUGGUGGAAUUCUCGGUGUAGAGGUGAAAUUCGUAGAUAUCGAGAGGAACACCGGUGGCGAAGGCGGCCAACUGGACAGAUACUGACGCUGAGACUCGAAAGCGUGAGGAGCAAACAGG